This 114-nucleotide microRNA precursor is filed under the name Pteropus vampyrus (large flying fox). Its description in RNAcentral is "microRNA 708 (ENSPVAG00000026134.1)". The stretch from base 17 to 109 matches the Rfam family "mir-708 microRNA precursor family". The record is from RNAcentral. Lineage: Eukaryota; Metazoa; Chordata; Mammalia; Chiroptera; Pteropodidae.
CUGUGUAUGAAAUGGUAACUGCCCUCAAGGAGCUUACAAUCUAGCUGGGGGUAAACUAAACAACUUGCACAUGAACGCAACUAGACUGUGAGCUUCUAGAGGGCAGGGACCUUA